UUCCCUUGUAAUUAACUCUUUGUUUUUCUCUUGCUGCCUUUAGAAUCUUCUCCUUAUCUUUAAAAUUUCCCAUUUUUGUUAUAAUAUGUUUUGGCAUUAGUCUGUUUAGGUUUAUCUUGUUUGGGACCUCUGUCCUUCCUAUAUCUAGAUAUCUGUUUCUAUCUUUAGAUUUGGAAAUUUUUCAGCCAUAGUUUCUUCAAAUAUAUUUUCAAUCCCCUUUUCUCUUUCUUCUCCUGGAGUCCCUAUUAUGCAUAGAUUGUCACACUGUAUUAUCCCAUAGAUCUUUUAUUUUCAUAUUUUUUCAUUUGGCUUUGUACCUGCUGCCCUGAUUGGGUGAUUUCCAUUAUUCUAUCUUCCAAGUAAUUUAUUUGUUACUAUACACCAUUCAUUAUGCUAUAUGUUGCCUUUAGCUUAGCUAUUGUCUCAGCAAAUGAAUUUUCGAUUUCCUUGGCGCCUUCUUAUAGUUUCUAGUUCCUUUUUACAUUUAUCUGCAUUUCUGUUGAUAGCCUUUCUUAAAACCUUCAGUAUUUUCAUUAUCUCCUUUUCAACUCUGUGUCUAUUAGACUGAAGAGGUCUCUUUUAUUGUUAUCUACUUUAGGGGGAUUUUUCUGUUCUUUUAACUGGGAAUGGUUUCUCUGCUUCUCUGUUUUGCUUAUAUUUCUCUUACUCUGUGAGUUUAGGAGAAACCAUUAUCUACUGUAGUUUUGGAGGGCUAUUUGUUUGCAGGAGUAUCCUGGGUAGCUUGUGUAGGAUUUUACUGGUCUGUGUGUGUGUGUGUCUGUGUGUGUGUGCGUGCGUGCACGCAUGCUGCUUUUAGUAUGGAUACUGUUUUUCCUCAGCAUGUGCUAGGCAUAAUCCCCUUGAAAGAUAUGGCAGCCUAUACAUGUUACCUUGGCCUGCAAGGGUGGGGGAGGUGACCAGUGCCUGCUUGUGGAUCUCUCAGUGUUGAUGGCAGCCCAUGCCCACCUUUUGAGCCAGGAUGACUGCAGCAGCUCGCCCUCAUCUCUAGAGCUCAUGUAGAUGGUGUCCUGUUGCCUGAGAGCACAGGCACAGGGAAAGAAAAUCCUAAGGUGAUCCCACACCACCCCUUGAGUGCCCCCCUCCCCUCAUCAAUGAUCCCUUGCCUUUCUGGCAGGCCCAGGCUUCUUCCAGUUACACCCUCGGUUGUGGCUGCUCCACACUCCAGCCUCUUUGAGUUCUCUCCAGGCAGCCAACCCUUAUCCUCUCUGCAGUCUGACCUCUGAAACCCAAGCUUCAGCCACCCAGCCCCAAGCCAUACCAGCAGAGGACCAUUUCAGGUUGGGGAAUGCAGGGCAGUGGCAGUGUCCAUCUGUGCUGAUCUCUCUCCAUUUUGCCCUCCACAAAGUUGUUGCCACACUCUAAGUCACUAAAGCUCCCCCUCCUUCCUGGCUGAUUUCCCUGCCAGUGAGGGGACUUCCAGGUGCUGUGGGAGCCUUUCCUCUUUCACAGCUCCCUCCCAGGGGCACAGGUUCUGUCUGAUUCCUUUCUCUUCUUUUUUAAUUUCUUUUUUCUUUUGUCCUACUUGGUUAGAUGGAGAUUUUCUUGCCCUUUCAGAAGUCUGAGAUCUUCUGCCAAUAUGCAGUAGAUAUUUUGUGAGAAUUUUUCCAGAUGUAGACGUAUUUUUGAUGUAUUUGUGGGAGGUGAGGAGGUGAGCUCUAUGUUCUAUUCCUCUGCUAUCUUGAUCCAUCUCCAUAUGUGUGUUUUAAUUUGAGCAAAUCAACAUCAGAAGCUAUUUUGAGACAAUGUAGAAAUUUUGCCAUCAAUUGGAUAGUAGAAGACAUUAAGAAAUUAUGAUUAAUUUAAUUAGGUAUUUUAAGGUACCAUAGUUUUAAAAAAAUGAUUGUCUUUUAACAACACAUAUUGAUGGAUUUCAAGUGAACUUACAUGAUUUCUGAGAUAAAAAAAUUUUAGAGAAAAAGUAAAGUAAAAUAAAAAGUGAAGUGGAAUAGCUAAAUCAAAAUUUGUAAAGUUGUUGAAACUAGAUUAUGUGUAAUUAACGUGUAGGGUAUUUAUACUAUUUUUUCUUUUUGUGCAUAUUUAAAACGUCUGUCAUAAAGAAUUAAUUUUUUAUAAAAGAAAAAUAAAAUGAUAUUGUUAGCUUGUAAAUGUACUCUUUUUGCUUCAGUAUAAUUUCUACUGUACUAUAAAUUAAUGUACUUUGUUCUUCCUCAUUGUGCAUUGUUUACUUUAAACUGAGAAAUUUUUCAAAAUUGAUACUUAUUUUCUGGCUACUUUUUAUAGACAUCUUUAUCACUUUUAGAGAGGACCUAAAUUAUCCUAUUUUGUAAAAGAAACAGAAAUGUUUGGAACUUAAUGGGCAAAAUCAUGGCAGUUGUCAAAAACACCUAUUUUUGAACAUUAAAUGAUGGUCAGUCAGUGACAAUUCCCUGCAGGAAGCAGAACCAAGGAUUGUCUUUCCUGUCUUCUUCUUGCCUUCCCAUCUCUCUUUAAUGUCCUCUAUUGAAAGAGUCUAACUGGGAGUCAUGUGGUGGAGAAAUAAAGUUUGGAGUCCUGGCCCCAGCUUCAUAUAGCUGCAUAUAACUGAGUAAAUUUGGGGCUGAGACAUAGUAACAAUAACAAUAAGAAUCCUAGCUGUCAUUUUAUGUGCUUAAGUUUGGUAAUUUUUUGUUUAUAGUCAAAAGUGUAAACUGAAUAGAAAAAUGACUAAUAAACUAGACUGUUUUAAAGCAGCCAAAUCCUGGCUCUUACCUGCGGAAAUAUGGGUAAAGUACUGAAACUCUCCAGGCCAUAGUCUUUUUUUUUUUUUUUUUUUUUUUUUGUCUUUUUGCCAUUUCUUGGGCCGCUCCCGCGGCAUAUGGAGGUUCCCAGGCUAGGGGUCCAAUCAGAGCUGUAGCUGCCAGCCUAUGCCAGAGCCACAGCAACGUGGGAUCCGAGCCGCGUCUGCAACCUACACCACAGCUCACGGCAACGCAGGAUCGUUAACCCACUGAGCAAGGGCAGGGAUCGAACCCACAACCUCAUGGUUCCUAGUCGGAUUCGUUAACCACUGCGCCACGACGGGAACUCCCAGGCCAUAGUCUUUUUAUUCAUAACAUGGAGCUAAUAAUCACAUAUACUUCAUAAUGUUGUUGUGAAGAAAAGAUAAAAUGUAAAAUGAGAAGCCUGUGUAAGUAGGGCCUUGUGAAUAAAUGUUAACUGCUAUGAUUCUUUUGUAAUUAUCAUCUUGCAAUCAUUAUCAUCAUUGGGAUGUCUAAUUUUAACUUAAAAAUACAGCAAAAAUUUAAGUGAAAACAGCAUGAAUAUUUUGAUAAUUUAGUAAUUAAUCUGAGUAUUUUUAAUAUCAUCAUUCAUACAUUCAUGCUAUAAGUUAUCACCUUUAAGGAUAUUGCAUUUAACAUUCAAAAUAAUACUGAGUAGCAAAAAUGAUUAAUGUCGUCAGCCUGACCUAACCUUAUAUAGCCUGGAAAAUCUGGAUAUACAUAAGAUAUUUUUUUUCCUUUGGAGGUAAGGAGAUUCAUUUGUUCAGCCCAGUAUGUCUAGAUUUGAUGGCCAUAUAUCUACUGCAAAUGUUAUUUCAUUUGUUAUGUUUAAGGCUAAUCAAGCAUCCUUCAAGAGAUGCACUUGAGAUGGAGAAGGUGAUCACAUUAAAUUGUCCUCAUAUUAAUGUUGGAAUUUACAAAAGAAUUCUUAUGAUGUGUCACUGAAUAAUGAUAGUUUACAUAGUCCUAAAGAUUAAACAUCAAUUGAGGAACCAGAUAAUUACAGUGAAGCAUAAGUCAAAGUGCUGAGAAGUGCCUCUCUGAACAGAUUAUUGUUUCAAGGAUGAUGCACAGCUAUUCAUUGUUUUGUCUUCACACAGAGUAUAAAGCCACCCCAAGAUUGUUUAUUAGUAUGGGAUAUUUAUGUUGGUUUUUAACACCAUUAUUGUUUAUUAAGAUGGGAUAUUGAUGUUGGUUUUGUUUUUGGUCUUAUUACUUUCAAUGAUUUUAUUUUCCGAGAGAACGUAAACCCAUCAUAAAGCAAGUUCAUCUAAAAAUUUUAUUCUAAAAUUCGUGAUGACUUAAAUUUCAGACCUGCUUCAAGUUCUGUAUAUCUAGUGAGGCUCCUGAGCCUUACUGGACAGUUAAAAUACUUUUAGUAUAAAGUGACUUUUAUGUUAAAUGGAUAAAGAAUAUUCCAGUGAAACAAGUGACUUUUUAAACUCAAAUUGUGUAAGUCACAAGAUAAACUACACAAUUUUUUUAAGCCUACUGUGUAUUUAGCAUAUCUAACAAUACUUAUUCUGAAGCAAAGGGCCUUGUUUUUUUUUCAUGUCACAGCCCUAUCAAGCCCACGUACAAACACAUGUUAUGCUGCAGCCAGAGUGACCUGAUCAUACUCCCUCAGCACUCCUUUGUCUCUGUUGCUCCUACUUGCUCUUUACAAUUUACUUCAUUUUUCAAUCCUGUGACCACUCUGUACAUGUUACCUCUUUGUCCUUGAUGCCGUCUAAGUAUUUCUUUACAUAUGUAAACUUUAACUUCCUUGACUAGCUAUAUCACAAGACUAUAAAUACUUGCAAGGCAGGAAUUUGUUGUUCUGGUUUUCUUUUAAAUUAUUAAAAGAAUGGAGGCCAGUAUAUAAUAAGUGUUUGAUAAAUAAUUGAAUGAUCGUGUUUGUGAAAUAGAGGCAAAGAGUAAAGUUUUCCUCAAAUAGAUUUUCUUCUCUUUAUUAAAACAUGAAGGAAUUUAUCACUUUCUACAUUGAGGUGUUAUUAUUGAUUUAUUUUCUGUGCAUUUAAAGAAAUAAAAUAACCUAAUAUACAGAAGCCAGCUCUUCCUUUUUGAACUAACAGAUUAGUAGCAGCAGCCCUAGGUCAUCUAAAAGGCAAGCUUUUAUCUUUUCUAAUGGAGAUGCUAUUUGUUUAUAAGAGUUAUAAGAAUCUUCUCAAAAUAGUUUUCAGUUUGGAAAGAGUUUAAAAUUUUGCAAUAUUAUACUGAUGUAAAUUCUGUCAAUUACUUCUAGCCAGUGUCAACUGAAAAGAAAAAUGCACAACCUAAAAGUUGAGAAUUAUGUUUUAUUUGACAGUUACUGAGGACUUAAAGCUUAGAGACACACUCUCACAUAGCUUUGAAGAACUGUUCUGAAGAGGUAAGGGAAGAGUCAGGAUAUCAGGAGUU
This 5141-nucleotide long non-coding RNA is filed under the name Sus scrofa (pig). Its description in RNAcentral is "lncRNA (ENSSSCG00000053386.1)". Lineage: Eukaryota; Metazoa; Chordata; Mammalia; Artiodactyla; Suidae. The record is from RNAcentral.